Molecule: long non-coding RNA, 818 nt
Filed under: Anas platyrhynchos platyrhynchos (common mallard)
Lineage: Eukaryota; Metazoa; Chordata; Aves; Anseriformes; Anatidae
Description: lncRNA (ENSAPLG00000019042.1)
Source: RNAcentral
UAUUUUUAAAGAUUACUUUUAUUUUUAAAUAACAAGCCUAUUAAGAAUGUUAAGUGUACACGCAUCCACAAAGCCAUGCAAGGCAGUCCUAACCUCUGUCAUGUGGAAGCAUUGCCUGUUCUUGAAACAUUCAUGAAGAGUCUUUUGUCUCAUCCUCUAAGUACCUGGGACUGACUCUGGACUCGCCUCAAUUACUCAGUUUCAGAACUGGAAAAAAAAUGAAUCACAAUGAAUUUUUUAAGCAGAGAUCAAGCUGUUUUCCUGGCAUUGGGUCCUGUUGAAUCUCCUCCUGGUUCCUCAUUACACCGGGCUCUUGCUCUGGCUGAAGUCGCCACAGCAGAGCAGAGGAUGCUUGGAGCCGGAGCUUUCAAAUGCAGUGGCUGGGACUGGCGAGAGGUCAGGCUGCCAUGGCAGGGGGUUUAAAGCGGGUGCAGGAGGAGGAAAUGAGCUGCUUUUCUGCUGUUUUGUGCAAGUCUACUUCACACGGUGAUCCACAAAGUGGCAAAACACCGUGCCAAGGAAAAGACACGCAGCCAGGAGCGACCGUUCCUUCUCUGGCAGCCCUGCAUGGAGGAGAAACUUCCACACGCGACCCUGCCCUGCCUCAGGAACCUGGAAGUUGCCCUCUGAGGAGACCAUGCCACAGGGACAGCAGCAGGAGGAGGCAGAGCAGACGGGCAGGGAAGCCCUUCAGGGAGCUGAAAUUUCAUGUUGCUCUGUGUCUGUGGGAAUCCCAGCAGCACUGCACCACAGGGAGCGGUACCUCUCAAAGUGAUGUUUCUGCAUUUGCAACCCUGGCGUGCAGCGUUCCAAGGUGA